This 253-nucleotide ribosomal RNA is filed under the name uncultured bacterium. RNAcentral's name for it is "partial 16S ribosomal RNA". It matches the Rfam family "Bacterial small subunit ribosomal RNA", at positions 524 to 776 of the family's 1533-position model. The record is from RNAcentral.
UACAGAGGUCCCAAGCGUUGUUCGGAUUCACUGGGCGUAAAGGGUGCGUAGGCGGUCGGGUAAGUCUGAUGUGAAAUCUCACAGCUUAACUGUGAAACUGCAUUGGAUACUAUCCGGCUAGAGGAAUGGAGGGGAGACUGGAAUACUUGGUGUAGCAGUGAAAUGCGUAGAUAUCAAGUGGAACACCAGUGGCGAAGGCGAGGCUCUGGACAUUUCCUGACGCUGAGGCACGAAAGCCAGGGGAGCAAACGGG